GGAGGGUUGCUAGAGUGGUAAUAGAGCGGCUUGCUAAGCCGUGGCGGUGAAUAAUCGCCCACAGGUUCGAAUCCUGUACCCUCCG
Molecule: transfer RNA, 85 nt
Filed under: Candidatus Levyibacteriota bacterium
Lineage: Bacteria; Candidatus Levyibacteriota
Description: tRNA-Ser
Rfam family: tRNA
About the family: Transfer RNA (tRNA) molecules are approximately 80 nucleotides in length. Their secondary structure includes four short double-helical elements and three loops (D, anti-codon, and T loops).
Source: RNAcentral